AGGGCAGUGCCUGGGUGACAGCCCCUCGAGGGAGAACUCCUUCUUGCUCUUCUUCUGCCACAGGGCGAUGCUUAGCAGGAAGCAGACGCUGGAGGGCAGGGUUUGAGAGCUUAGAACAAACCAGCAAUGGGAGGUACAUAAGCUGCUGAGCAGACCACAGCAGGUCGCAGAGCUAAGCACCCGCAAGAACUGAGCGGUACCUCACUGUCAGGAGGCAGGGAGGAAUGAAGAAGGUGACAAUACCCUCCAUCCCUCAGAUCUAAGCUGGAGGCAGUGAGGUGUGUGAACGUGUCCCCUCUUGCUGAACCCCGUGGUGGGCUCCGGCUGGCCCUGGAUUCCCUCCCACCUCAUUCAUCACACACCCAUUACAGUGCCCUCCGCCUCUCUCGGAUCCUGGGCAGCUGUGGGCCCCAGGUGAGUUAGGCAGGGCCUGGGACUAGUGCUAACUUAGCAUCGGCACCAUGUGGGAGCUGGUUGAGAAGAAAGAUUGUCAGGCCCCAUCCCAGACCUGCUGAAUCAGAGUUUUCAGGAGCCGGGUUUCGACCCAGGAAGUUGUAAGCCCUCUGGUGCGUCUCAUUUAUGCUGCAGUUUGAGACUCGUUGCUGUUUGAGACUCGACUAAUCAGACACUCGCUGAUUAGGGUGUGAUGGCAAGACCUGAACACACAUCCAGAAAUGCAGACUAGAGGCCCACUGAAGGAGAAACUGCGUUUUCACCAGAUCCCCCCCAGGGAUUUGUUUGCAUCUUACGGUGUGAAGACACCCUGGUCUAGAAUGUCACGGUCGAGCAGGAUAUCUGUGUAGGGUUCAAGAGAUGCACAGGAAGGAAGGAGAGUUGCCUGUGGCUCUUGGUGUUGACUGCGCCUUGGUAGAUGAAGCAUCCAGCUCUGCUGUUUGGGGAACAGGCUACUUUUGGGUCCCUCAAUAUCUUCACUUGCUCAGAACCAGAGAGCAAAGGGGACAGGUGAGGAGGGCAGGGGUGCUUACUUCUCUUCAGAUGAUUUGGAGCUUCAGAAAACUGGGUGAGCCAUGAAUACCACAGAAGUUCUGCGGAGGUGGCAAGGACCAAGCACCUGUUGCGGUGACACCGUCGUCCUGGUCAGCACCAGUUGGACCAUUUCCACAAGCAGGUACUGGGUGCAAGGUGCUUUCAGGGCCACCUCACCUGACCCCCUGUCCAUGUGUGAUGUUUGCAGAAGAGGAAGCCAAGCUUAGUGCCAACGACCUGGACUCAGAGUUCAGUCCUUCGAAGCUGAAAGGGAUAUCUUCCCAGGGAGGCUGGGCCUUGACUGCAGAUGGGGUGUAGACCAGCAGAGAGGGAAGAGGGUGGGACUGAGGCGGGCAGGUCUGAGCCCCACAUGGGGCUUGAAUGGGAGGUUUGGGGCAGAAAGAGAGGCCCAAGAAAUGCAACUGGAAACCCUGGAGUUGGAUGAGGCCUCUGGGAUUUUCCAAUCCAGCCUCCUACCUGCAGACAGAGUUCUCCUUAUUCUCAAGUAAAAUUUAUAUUACUGUUCUCUAUGGAUGGCUAUUUCUGUGAUUUGUCUCGUGUAACCAACCACCUGGACUUGCAUGCACACAAGCAGGCUAAGAAAUGUUGUUUAUGAGACUUGUGCCAUGUAAAUGACCUUGGGAACCUGGUUAAAAUAUAUUAUCUGGUUUCUAGGUCAGAACUGGCCGGGACACCAGUUCUGUUCUGGACACCAAGAGCUACGAAUCUGGUCUCAUAUCCCCUCUUGAUCCAGGCUGAGCUGCCUAUCUCCCCACCUCCGUGAAAGGAAACUGGAUGCGGGAAGGCAGACACACACAGCCCAGGCUCCUUGAAACUAUAAAAUUAUGAUUGCAUAGAAAUGCAACUCGCUCCAAACUGCAUGUAGGCCAACAAGUGUUUAACUUCCAACCCUGUCAUUUGCCCCAUAAUAUGGCCCUCAUGGGGAUGGUCAGGUGGAAGUCUCUCACCUGAGGGGAGGAUGCUCCACCCAGGCCUCUUGAUCCAUCAGGACUCCAGCUGCACUGACUCCACCAGGCUUCCCCAGCUGCUGAGGUCGGAUGUUGUAAGUACUGCAUUUGAUGAAACUUUGCCUUAUUCUCAUGUAUUACCUACUAUUCCCUUCAUCUACGUGUAGAUUCCUUUCCUCUUCUAUUAGGUUUCUGUGAUAAUGAUAUAAUUUUUUUUCCUUUUUGAAAUUGAAAACAUAGCUGUUAUGAGUCUUUUUCCCAGAACAAUUACAAAAAUGUGUCCUUCCUUUAUUCUUUUACCUGUUUAAUAGGUAUUCACCUGGUGCCAUCAGUAUGCAGGCAUGGGGUGGCAGGGCAAGCAGGGGAAGCAGGGCAGGCCUGGCUUCUGACCCCCGGGGAGCUGCCCUUGCAGAGGGCCCCAGGC
This 2379-nucleotide long non-coding RNA is filed under the name Canis lupus familiaris (dog). Its description in RNAcentral is "lncRNA (ENSCAFG00000035684.3, ENSCAFG00845012182.1)". Lineage: Eukaryota; Metazoa; Chordata; Mammalia; Carnivora; Canidae. The record is from RNAcentral.